GUUCUUUAAUCAGCAGUCCCCUCUCAGAGGCUUCAGAACAAAGGGGAGAGAAAAACAUACCAAGACCAGGAAAUCUGUCUGUAUUUGUAUUGGAGAGCUAUGUACAUCAACGGAGCUACAGAAAAAGAAUGAAUGACAUCUAGGAUACCAUUGAUGCUCCAUGGUCAUGUUUCAGGUGGAAUCUGAAUAUGCAUGUCAAGCUGGGAUUCAGAAGAGGCUUCCUUCUUAAUGAUGUGGAUCAGAGAGCUACAGAAAACAAUCCUGAAUGCAGCCCCCACAAGCCUGAUCUCACCCCUCCUUGGAGUCCUGGGCUUGGCCAGUGUUCUGAGGCUAGGCAGCACUUCUUGCUUUCUCCAAAGCCUGGUCACUGGGGACGUGGCAGUGGUCUGGCCCCUUGCUCAGGUGUGCCUAUCUUGGCUAGUCCAUCCUUUUUUUGCCCUUAUGCUUCAGCUGGGUUAAUUCAAGGCUCAAGCCUCUCUUUCCCCAGUCAGGUUUUUAGAGAGGUAUUCAAAAUCAGUGGAACUACCCAUUAUUCCAGUAGGGGAGAGCCAUUCAAAGUUGAUGGCUUUCGUUGUUAGACAUCUCUGAGGUGUUCCACACCCAAGCAGAGAGAGGACAAUGUCUAGAAUAGACUGGCCUUGUCAAGACAAGGCUGGUUUUCCCCCACACAAAUUGGAUGUCUUAAUCCAACAUGGAGGUUACAACAUGAAGGUCACAAUGAAAGUUAUAAAUCAAAAGUGUCAUUCACAAAACAAAGGAGUUUACCAUUUGGCAGAUACAUCCCUAAUCUGUCAUUUUAUACUAUUUUUAUGGAUCAUGAUAGACAGAGGACUAAAUUUAGAAGUCCAGUAAGAACUUCUACACACUGCAAGAGAUGGAUUUAGAUACACUUUGAAAGGGAAAGAAGUAAAGACAAACACAAUAGGAUUAUAACAAAUAUAGUUAUGAGGACAAAAAAAGGUGACGGGAGAGACUGAAAAGGAAACAAAAAAAUAUAUAAAGCAUUUUCUACAAGAUAAAAAAGUAGCAAAUGAAAAUGGGAAGGUACUUUUAAAUGAAAAAAAGUGUUGAUACAUAAUGUUAUAAUCAAAUACAGUAUCCGACAGACUAUACGCAGGAAUUGCUAUAUUGCAUCAGACCAGAAUCUCAGACAGAGGCCAGGACACCAGAUGCUUCAGAGGAAGGUGCAAGACCACCACAUAAGGCAGUCUCA
Long non-coding RNA from Chelonia mydas (Green sea turtle), 1213 nucleotides. RefSeq lists it as uncharacterized. The transcript is spliced from 3 exons. Lineage: Eukaryota; Metazoa; Chordata; Testudines; Cheloniidae. The record is from RefSeq and is a predicted model, not a curated record.